GAGACGAAUUGUGGCGAUUUGUAACCGGAUUGUGGGCCACUUUAAAUAUGCCACUAAAAAGUUGAGACAAAUUAAUC
Molecule: non-coding RNA, 77 nt
Filed under: Rhodobacterales bacterium HTCC2255
Lineage: Bacteria; Pseudomonadati; Pseudomonadota; Alphaproteobacteria; Rhodobacterales
Description: Alpha-proteobacteria SAM riboswitch aptamer
Rfam family: Alpha-proteobacteria SAM riboswitch aptamer
About the family: This family is a riboswitch found predominantly in alpha-proteobacteria that binds S-adenosyl methionine (SAM). This SAM riboswitch is located upstream of the metA and metC genes in Agrobacterium tumefaciens, and other methionine and SAM biosynthesis genes in other alpha-proteobacteria.
Source: Rfam by way of RNAcentral